AGCGCAGGCGGGAAGACAAGUUGGAAGUGAAAACCAUGGGCUCAACCCAUGAAUUGCUUUCAAAACUGUUUUUCUUGAGUAGUGCAGAGGUAGGUGGAAUUCCCGGUGUAGCGGUGGAAUGCGUAGAUAUCGGGAGGAACACCAGUGGCGAAGGCGGUCUACUGGGCACCAACUGACGCUGAGGCUCGAAAGCAUGGGUAGCAAACA
RNAcentral lists this ribosomal RNA (207 nucleotides) under uncultured bacterium. Its description in RNAcentral is "partial 16S ribosomal RNA". It matches the Rfam family "Bacterial small subunit ribosomal RNA", at positions 568 to 774 of the family's 1533-position model. The record is from RNAcentral.